GUGUGUGUGGUUUUUUUUAAAUAAUGGGGAGAAUUUGGAAAAUAGCUAGUUAUUCAUAGAAGGGGAAAUGGAAGAUAAUUAUGCUUUUUGCAGCACAGAAAUAGAUAAAUCUAUUGUCUUCUGUACACUCAGUUGAACAUUAUGCAGCCAUUAUGUGUGGUAUUUGAAAAAAAAGUAUUGGCAGAGGGUAAUGCUUAUGAAAUAGAAUGUGAAAAAUAGAAUACAAAAUUAUAUUUAUGAUAUGAUCUCAAUUGUAUAUAUGGGUGUUUAAGUUCACAAACUUAAGGUUUCCAGAUAUAAGGACCUAGGUUGGUUUGUUCACUGCUCAGCCACCAGCCUGGAACAUAGUAAGUACUCUAUAAAUACUUGGGAAGUGCUUGAAAAACGUAUAUAAAAAGCUGAAAAUAAAUACAUCAUUACUAGUUGUAAGAUUGCAGAAUAUUUGAUUUCCUCUUUUUCUUUUUCACAUCUCCUACAGGGGGCGUGUAAUCACUCUGUGACUGGUGGCUGCAGGCUCUCCUAAUGGAUAUUUCCUAUUUACAGGGCUACCAACUGCCAAGCAUCCAAGCAGUCCCUAGGCAGCAAUCCAGCAGCUGACAGGGUUACCGGCGUCAACUGCCACAGAUGCUAGGCUGGUUUGCCAUAUUUACAUGGAUUUGAUCAGCAAUGAGCACAAAAGAUAGAGAUUGUUUCUUUCUUUCUUUUUUUUGAGGUGGAGUUUUACUCUUGUUGCCCACGCUGGAGCGCAAUAGUGAGAACCCAUUUCUAAAAAUAAAAUAAAUAAAAUAAUAAUAAAGCCGAUUAGG
This 806-nucleotide long non-coding RNA is filed under the name Homo sapiens (human). Its description in RNAcentral is "HSALNT0145613". Lineage: Eukaryota; Metazoa; Chordata; Mammalia; Primates; Hominidae. The record is from RNAcentral.